UGCUUUCGAUAGGCGUCGACCGGCGCACGGGCGAGUAACGCGUAUCCAACCUGCCCAUAACUAAGGGAUAAUCCGUAGAAAUGCGGUCUAAUACCUUAUGUGGUCCGAGGAAGACAUCUGAUUUGGAUUAAAGAUUUAUCGGUUAUGGAUGGGGAUGCGUCUGAUUAGAUUGUUGGCGGGGCAACGGCCCACCAAGUCUGCGAUCAGUAGGGGUUCUGAGAGGAAGGUCCCCCACAUUGGAACUGAGACACGGUCCAAACUCCUACGGGAGGCAGCAGUGAGGAAUAUUGGUCAAUGGGCGGGAGCCUGAACCAGCCAAGUAGCGUGCAGGACGACGGCCCUAUGGGUUGUAAACUGCUUUUGCAGGGGGAUAAAGUGAGUCACGUGUGACUUAUUGCAGGUACCCUGCGAAUAAGGACCGGCUAAUUCCGUGCCAGCAGCCGCGGUAAUACGGAAGGUCCGGGCGUUAUCCGGAUUUAUUGGGUUUAAAGGGAGCGUAGGCCGUGGAUUAAGUGUGUUGUGAAAUGUAGGCGCUCAACGUCUGACUUGCAGCGCAUACUGGUCCACUUGAGUGCGCGCAACGCGGGCGGAAUUUGUCGUGUAGCGGUGAAAUGCUUAGAUAUGACGAAGAACCCCGAUUGCGAAGGCAGCUCGCGGGAGCGCAACUGACGCUGAAGCUCGAAAGUGCGGGUAUCGAACAGGAUUAGAUACCCUGGUAGUCCGCACGGUAAACGAUGGAUGCCCGCUUUUCGGUCAUAAGACCGUGAGGCCAAGUGAAAACAUUAAGCAUCCCACCUGGG
Molecule: ribosomal RNA, 800 nt
Filed under: uncultured rumen bacterium
Lineage: Bacteria
Description: bacterial SSU rRNA
Rfam family: Bacterial small subunit ribosomal RNA
Source: RNAcentral